Molecule: ribosomal RNA, 253 nt
Filed under: uncultured bacterium
Lineage: Bacteria
Description: partial 16S ribosomal RNA
Rfam family: Bacterial small subunit ribosomal RNA
Source: RNAcentral
UACGUAGGGGGCGAGCGUUGUCCGAAGUUACUGGGCGUAAAGCGCGCGUAGGCGGUCUUUUAAGUCGGGGGUGAAAUCCUGGAGCUCAACUCCAGAACUGCCUUCGAUACUGGAGAGCUCGAGUCCGGGAGAGGUGAGUGGAACUGCGAGUGUAGAGGUGAAAUUCGUAGAUAUUCGCAAGAACACCAGUGGCGAAGGCGGCUCACUGGCCCGGUACUGACGCUGAGGUGCGAAAGCGUGGGGGGCAAACAGG